GCUAAUGAGUGCCAUCCAUUCCUCUGCAAUAGUUGAGGGACCUGAUUGGCAAAAAUGCCUUUCUUGCAACUCUCAAACACAGCGUAUAUGGCGUAUACAAGCAGGUGGGCCACAUGAUUGCUGUCUGUCUGGUACAUGGGGUGUAGAGCCACAAUUUUUUUCAUAGAGGCUAUACAGGCACGUGUGUGGCCUACAACCUCCUGUGCCAGAACUGAAAGAAAUUGUGGAAUAUGACUUCAGAGAGAAGUUGGAGAAGAUCCAGUUAGCACAAACUGUUGACGAGGCACAGGAAGCGGUCAUGGAGGCCUCCGAACAACUGGUCAUGUUGGGUUCAGUUCGAUACAUUCGUACAUUGGAGGAGAGGGAUGCCCUGGUGGAGUCAGCCACAAAGUUCUACUUAGAAAGCAGGCUACGGGAUGCUCUAGAGCAAUUCAAAGAGGGUCUGGAGUGUCUAGGUCUCCUGCCUUACAUGAAUAGACACUCAAGCCUCUUCAGAGAGGUUUUCAUCUAUGCUGAGCCUCUUUUGGCCAAAGACAGCUUCUCUCUGCAAAGCAGAGCUCUCCCCACCUGGUACCAAUCAAAAAGCAAUAGAGAGCAGAGUCAUAUGUUUCUGGAGGGACUGGCUGCUGGAGGUGGAUAGUUAAUGCAAAACCAUGAUCAUUAAAGUAACACGUCAAUAAAAU
RNAcentral lists this long non-coding RNA (683 nucleotides) under Salmo salar (Atlantic salmon). RNAcentral's name for it is "lncRNA (ENSSSAG00000100478.1)". The record is from RNAcentral. Lineage: Eukaryota; Metazoa; Chordata; Actinopteri; Salmoniformes; Salmonidae.